CAAGUCAUGACAACCCAGGCACCAGGCAGGGCAAUGAAAGAGCUUCCAGAUGCUUCCAGCCCCCAGCUACCAAGUCAUUGCCAGCUUGAGUCUUACUGAGCUGAGGUCUCAGACACCAGGGAAUAAAGACAAACCCUCCCUCCUGUGCCCUGUUGAAAUUCCAGAUCCACAGAACCCUUGAGCACAAUAAAUGCAUGUUGUUUGUGAUGGUUAAUUUUAUGUCUAGACCACAAGAUGCCUGAAUAGAUAAACCUUAUUCUGGGUAUGUCUGUAAAGGUGUUUGGAUGAGAUUAACACUGGAAUCAUAGACUGAGUAAAGCAGAUUGCUUUCCCCAGUGUUCCUUCCCCAGUCCAUUGCAGGCCAGAACAAAAGGCCUGGAAAGGUAGAACUUGCUCCCUCUGCCUGACUACUUGAGCUGGGACAUCAGUCUUCUCCUGCCCUCAAAUUGGGGCUUACACCAUCAAGUGCCCCUGGUUCUCAGGCCAUUCGACUCAGCCUGGAACUGUACCACCAGCUUUCCCGGGUCUCCGGCUUGCAGAUGGCAGACUAUGGGACUUCUCAUCUUCCACAAUCCAUGAGCCAAUUCCUCAUAAUAAAUUCCCUAUAAUAAAGGUCUUAUAAUGUAUGUAUUUAUACACUAUUGGCUUUGUUUCUGAAGGUUCCAAAUACAUUGUUCAAGUCAGUAAUUUCAGAGGUGGGCGGAGGGCUAAUUACCCAGCAAUAGUUAUACUGUAAUAUUUCUAGUCAGAAAUAUUUUCUUAUAUUAUUAUAAUUCUUAGUCUUUUUUCUGUGCCUUUAAAAAUAUUUCUCUUACUAAAGUGAGUCACUAACUUCUUAGAUCAAAAGGAAAUGAUAAUUUCUCUGAUUCUGAGAUUUACUUUAAAAAAUAUAAAAAACAGGUCAGCCUCACUUCUAAAUAUUUGCAUUAUAUGAACAUAAUGAAUAUACUGAGUCCAGCCAUAGGUAACACAGGGACAUUCACAAGUCCCAGGUGGAGGACAGUAUGAACUGAAGCUUUCUGACAACGUGGCUGCUUAGACCUUUUACUAUUCCUUCCUAGUUAAAAGUCAGAGAAAUCAGGUAACCAUUGAAGUCUUAAAGAUGCAGACAACAGCUGGGCACAGUGGCUCACGCCUGUAAUCCCAGCACUUUGGGAGACUAAGGUGGAAGGAUUACUUGAGUCCAGGAUUUCAAGAGCAGACCCAGGGCAACAAAGCCAGACUGUCUCAAAAAAAAAAAAAAAAAAAGACAUAGAAAACAUGUGAAGCUCUUGGUGAUGCUAAUGAUGAAUACGAUGCACUACACAGCUCUGGUUUUGAGGAAGAGGAAGUGUUUGGUUCUUCUCGGCAUUGGCUCUCAACCAUGUAAAUAGUUUGGCCAAUAUUACAGACCCUGGAGCCAAAUCAGUUUCAUGUGGUCAUCAAUCAUGACAUUUCUUCUGAAACAUGAGGUAAAGCAUGUGAUGCAAGAAAUCCACUUUCCGGGAAAUGACGGAGACCUUAAGAGGAGCAGCUCAAGGAGGUUCUUGCAGGCCAAACCACAGCCCGUGGCCACAGAACUGACCAGACCACAUGGAGGCACAGGAACCACCCCAUAAA
Molecule: long non-coding RNA, 1599 nt
Filed under: Homo sapiens (human)
Lineage: Eukaryota; Metazoa; Chordata; Mammalia; Primates; Hominidae
Description: HSALNT0115859
Source: RNAcentral